Molecule: long non-coding RNA, 538 nt
Organism: Octopus sinensis (East Asian common octopus)
Lineage: Eukaryota; Metazoa; Mollusca; Cephalopoda; Octopoda; Octopodidae
Exons: 2
Source: RefSeq, a predicted model, not a curated record
CUGAUUUCUGGUUAAUUGUCCAGGUGCGUGAAUUUCUCUUAAUCAGCUGAUUAAUUCAUGUGUAAUACUAAUAAUUUAUUUCUCAACUGCCAGAUAUACACAUAUAUAUAACAAUACAAUCCUUUAUGAAACAUUUCCAAUAUCAGACAGCAUUGAUGUAAAAGAAGAAGCAUCCUCAAUAUCUACCAUGUUUUAACUAAAGGAAAAUAUUAUACAAAACAGAUGUAUAGCAUUAUUUCUACAAAUCUGUGGAGGAUUUCCUUGGGAAACAUUUGUUCUGGAAUUAUAUUGUUAGCAAAAUUUCUGAACAUCACUAACUGGAGAGUCAAGACGAAGAUCCCAAGUGCUGAUUAAAGUUGGAUAACUAUAUCUUAGUGCUGUUAAAUAAAGGUAACACUGGACAGAAAUACAGCAGUAGAAGUGUAUGUAAAGAAUAAAGUAUAAGAGAAGAUAGAAAGAUAUAUAAACUGAGAUUUUAGAGGAAAAGUGAUGGAAAAGAGUGAGAAACGUAUACAAUUGAUUUCCUCAGAACCCAUGA